Molecule: long non-coding RNA, 356 nt
Organism: Perca fluviatilis (European perch)
Lineage: Eukaryota; Metazoa; Chordata; Actinopteri; Perciformes; Percidae
Exons: 3
Source: RefSeq, a predicted model, not a curated record
GUAGAAGAAAAGCUUAAUGUUGGACUACCCUCAAUCGGCUCCUUGAUGCAGAAGAUAUAUCACCUUAGCAUGUGCAGAGGUUCCAACAGGCAGCACUAGCAUUUCUGGUUUGCUGAACUACUUCCAUGCCAGAGACCCCAAGAGCAUGAUCAGCUCAGCGAGGAGUUCCUGAAAUAUCAAUUGAUGGACAUCCCCAAGCCUCAACACCCAGCCACUUUCAACAUUGUGGGUUUUGGGGGGAAUAUGUCAUCAAUGAAGACUAGGAUGGCCACCCAUCAAGAGCAAGGUUCUGUCCAAGGUUUCCUUGUCACUGUCACAACCAAAUGCAUGCUCUUGGGGGAAUUUUUGGGUCUCUG